GCUGCAUAAGCUUCUACAAUCAUCUUCUCAGCUUCUUUCUCUCCUUGUAGCACAGCCGCCUCAUCAUUCCAUUCUGCAAUAUUUCCUUCUCCAGAUGCAUCACCUGCACCUUGGUUCAUUAGAAAGAUUGAACACAGUAUUGGAAUUACAUCCCUAUGACUCUCCUCAUCGACCCCUUCUGAGCUAGGUAAUGAAACAGUUGU
RNAcentral lists this unclassified non-coding RNA (203 nucleotides) under Hevea brasiliensis (rubber tree). Lineage: Eukaryota; Viridiplantae; Streptophyta; Magnoliopsida; Malpighiales; Euphorbiaceae. The record is from RNAcentral.